CAGCAGCCGCGGUAAUACCGGCGGCCCGAGUGGCGGCCACUAUUAUUGGGCUUAAAGCGUCCGUAGCCGGGUUGGUUAGUCUCCCGGGAAAUCUGGCCGCUUAACGGUCAGAAUUCCGGGAGAUACUGCCAGCCUAGGGACCGGGAGAGGCCGAGGGUAUUCCCGGAGGAGGGGUGAAAUCCUAUAAUCCCAGGGGGACCGCCAGUGGCGAAGGCGCCCCGCUGGAACGGGUCCGACGGUGAGGGACGAAGGCCAGGGGAGCAAACCGGAUUAGAUACCCGGGUAGUCCUGGCUGUAAAGGAUGCGGGCUAGGUGUCGGGUGAGCUUCGGGCUCGCCCGGUGCCGUAGGGAAGCCGUUAAGCCCGCCGCCUGGGGAGUACGGCCGCAAGGCUGAAACUUAAAGGAAUUGGCGGG
Molecule: ribosomal RNA, 414 nt
Filed under: uncultured microorganism
Description: bacterial SSU rRNA
Rfam family: Archaeal small subunit ribosomal RNA
Source: RNAcentral